AUAGUCGGGAUAGCUCAGUUGGUAGAGCAGAGG
Molecule: transfer RNA, 33 nt
Filed under: Dioscorea bulbifera (air-potato)
Lineage: Eukaryota; Viridiplantae; Streptophyta; Magnoliopsida; Dioscoreales; Dioscoreaceae
Description: partial tRNA-Phe
Source: RNAcentral